GAUGAACGCUGGCGGCGUGCCUAAUACAUGCAAGUCGAGCGAACGGACGAGAAGCUUGCUUUUCUGAUGUUAGCGGCGGACGGGUGAGUAACACGUGGAUAACCUACCUAUCAGACUGGGAUAACUUCGGGAAACCGGAGCUAAUACCGGAUAAUAUUUUGAACCGCAUGGUUCAAAAGUGAAAGACGGUCUUGCUGGCACUUAUAGAUGGAUCCGCGCUGCAUUAGCUAGUUGGUAAGGUAACGGCUUACCAAGGCAACGAUGCAUAGCCGACCUGAGAGGGUGAUCGGCCACACUGGAACUGAGACACGGUCCAGACUCCUACGGGAGGCAGCAGUAGGGAAUCUUCCGCAAUGGGCGAAAGCCUGACGGAGCAACGCCGCGUGAGUGAUGAAGGUCUUCGGAUCGUAAAACUCUGUUAUUAGGGAAGAACAUAUGUGUAAGUAACUGUGCACAUCUUGACGGUACCUAAUCAGAAAGCCACGGCUAACUACGUG
This 497-nucleotide ribosomal RNA is filed under the name uncultured bacterium. RNAcentral describes it as "partial 16S ribosomal RNA". It matches the Rfam family "Bacterial small subunit ribosomal RNA", at positions 28 to 507 of the family's 1533-position model. The record is from RNAcentral.